UACGUAGGGUGCGAGCGUUAAUCGGAAUUACUGGGCGUAAAGCGUGCGCAGGCGGUUUUGUAAGCCAGAUGUGAAAGCCCCGGGCUUAACCUGGGAAUGGCAUUUGGGACUGCAAGGCUUGAGUGCGGCAGAGGAGACUGGAAUUCCUGGUGUAGCAGUGAAAUGCGUAGAUAUCAGGAGGAACACCUGCGGUGUAGACGGCUUACUGGACCAUAACUGACGCUGAGGCACGAAAGCGUGGGUAGCAAACAGG
This 253-nucleotide ribosomal RNA is filed under the name uncultured bacterium. Its description in RNAcentral is "partial 16S ribosomal RNA". It matches the Rfam family "Bacterial small subunit ribosomal RNA", at positions 524 to 776 of the family's 1533-position model. The record is from RNAcentral.